CAAUUUAAACAACGAAGAGUUUGAUCCUGGCUCAGGAUGAACGCUAGCGACAGGCUUAACACAUGCAAGUCGAGGGGCAGCACAGGUAGCAAUACCGGGUGGCGACCGGCGCACGGGUGAGUAACGCGUAUGCAACUUACCUAUCAGAGGGGGAUAACCCGGCGAAAGUCGGACUAAUACCGCAUGAAGCAGGGGCCCCGCAUGGGGAUAUUUGCUAAAGAUUCAUCGCUGAUAGAUAGGCAUGCGUUCCAUUAGGCAGUUGGCGGGGUAACGGCCCACCAAACCGACGAUGGAUAGGGGUUCUGAGAGGAAGGUCCCCCACAUUGGUACUGAGACACGGACCAAACUCCUACGGGAGGCAGCAGUGAGGAAUAUUGGUCAAUGGGCGUAAGCCUGAACCAGCCAAGUCGCGUGAGGGAUGAAGGUUCUAUGGAUCGUAAACCUCUUUUAUAAGGGAAUAAAGUGCGGGACGUGUCCCGUUUUGUAUGUACCUUAUGAAUAAGGAUCGGCUAACUCCGUGCCAGCAGCCGCGGUAAUACGGAGGAUCCGAGCGUUAUCCGGAUUUAUUGGGUUUAAAGGGUGCGUAGGCGGCCUUUUAAGUCAGCGGUGAAAGUCUGUGGCUCAACCAUAGAAUUGCCGUUGAAACUGGGGGGCUUGAGUAUGUUUGAGGCAGGCGGAAUGCGUGGUGUAGCGGUGAAAUGCUUAGAUAUCACGCAGAACCCCGAUUGCGAAGGCAGCCUGCCAAGCCAUGACUGACGCUGAUGCACGAAAGCGUGGGGAUCAAACAGGAUUAGAUACCCUGGUAGUCCACGCAGUAAACGAUGAUCACUAGCUGUUUGCGAUACAGUGUAAGCGGCACAGCGAAAGCGUUAAGUGAUCCACCUGGGGAGUACGCCGGCAACGGUGAAACUCAAAGGAAUUGACGGGGGCCCGCACAAGCGGAGGAACAUGUGGUUUAAUUCGAUGAUACGCGAGGAACCUUACCCGGGUUUGAACGCAUUCGGACCGAGGUGGAAACACCUUUUCUAGCAAUAGCCGUUUGCGAGGUGCUGCAUGGUUGUCGUCAGCUCGUGCCGUGAGGUGUCGGCUUAAGUGCCAUAACGAGCGCAACCCUUGCCACUAGUUACUAACAGGUAAAGCUGAGGACUCUGGUGGGACUGCCAGCGUAAGCUGCGAGGAAGGCGGGGAUGACGUCAAAUCAGCACGGCCCUUACAUCCGGGGCGACACACGUGUUACAAUGGCGUGGACAAAGGGAAGCCACCUGGCGACAGGGAGCGAAUCCCCAAACCACGUCUCAGUUCGGAUCGGAGUCUGCAACCCGACUCCGUGAAGCUGGAUUCGCUAGUAAUCGCGCAUCAGCCAUGGCGCGGUGAAUACGUUCCCGGGCCUUGUACACACCGCCCGUCAAGCCAUGGGAGCCGGGGGUACCUGAAGUCCGUAACCGAAAGGAUCGGCCUAGGGUAAAACUGGUGACUGGGGCUAAGUCGUAACAAGGUAGCCGUACCGGAAGGUGCGGCUGGAACACCUCCUUUCU
This 1535-nucleotide ribosomal RNA is filed under the name Parabacteroides sp. AM17-47. RNAcentral describes it as "bacterial SSU rRNA". It matches the Rfam family "Bacterial small subunit ribosomal RNA". Lineage: Bacteria; Pseudomonadati; Bacteroidota; Bacteroidia; Bacteroidales; Tannerellaceae. The record is from RNAcentral.